CAGCACCUCAAGUGGUCAGGAUGAUUAUUGGGCCUAAAGCAUCCGUAGCCGGCUCUGUAAGUUUUCGGUUAAAUCUGUAUGCUCAACAUACAGGCUGCCGGGAGUACUGCAGAGCUAGGGAGUGGGAGAGGUAGACGGUACUCGGUAGGAAGGGGUAAAAUCCUUUGAUCUAUUGAUGACCACCUGUGGCGAAGGCGGUCUACCAGAACACGUCCGACGGUGAGGGAUGAAAGCUGGGGGAGCAAACCGGAUUAGAGACCCGAGUAGUCC
RNAcentral lists this ribosomal RNA (270 nucleotides) under uncultured archaeon. RNAcentral's name for it is "partial 16S ribosomal RNA". It matches the Rfam family "Archaeal small subunit ribosomal RNA", at positions 477 to 747 of the family's 1478-position model. The record is from RNAcentral.